Molecule: ribosomal RNA, 460 nt
Filed under: uncultured bacterium
Lineage: Bacteria
Description: partial 16S ribosomal RNA
Rfam family: Bacterial small subunit ribosomal RNA
Source: RNAcentral
CCUACGGGUGGCAGCAGUGAGGAAUAUUGGUCAAUGGGCGAGAGCCUGAACCAGCCAAGUCGCGUGAAGGAUGACUGCCCUAUGGGUUGUAAACUUCUUUUAUAUGGGAAUAAAGUGAGGAACGUGUUCCUUUUUGUAUGUACCAUAUGAAUAAGCAUCGGCUAACUCCGUGCCAGCAGCCGCGGUAAUACGGAGGAUGCGAGCGUUAUCCGGAUUUAUUGGGUUUAAAGGGAGCGUAGGUGGUUUGUUAAGUCAGUGGUGAAAGUUUGUGGCUCAACCGUAAAAUUGCCGUUGAAACUGGUAGUCUUGAGUACAUUUGAGGUAGGCGGAAUGCGUGGUGUAGCGGUGAAAUGCUUAGAUAUCACGCAGAACUCCGAUUGCGAAGGCAGCUUACUAAACUGUAACUGACACUGAUGCUCGAAAGUGUGGGUAUCAAACAGGAUUAGAUACCCCGGUAGUC